UCGAGGAUCUUCGGCAAUGGGCGCAAGCCUGACCGAGCGACGCCGCGUGUGCGAUGAAGGCCUUCGGGUUGUAAAGCACUGUCGAGGGGGAGGAAAGCCCGCAAGGGUUUGACCUAUCCCUGGAGGAAGCACGGGCUAAGUUCGUGCCAGCAGCCGCGGUAAGACGAACCGUGCGAACGUUGUUCGGAUUCACUGGGCUUAAAGGGCGCGUAGGCGGCUUGCCAAGUCAGGGGUGAAAUCUUUCGGCUCAACCGGAAAAGUGCUUCUGAUACUGGCGGGCUGGAGGGAGGUAGGGGCAGAUGGAACUUCCGGUGGAGCGGUGAAAUGCGUAGAUAUCGGAAGGAACGCCGGUGGCGAAAGCGAUCUGCUGGACCUCUUCUGACGCUGAGGCGCGAAAGCCAGGGGAGCAAACGGGAUUAGAUACCCCCGUAGUCC
Molecule: ribosomal RNA, 435 nt
Filed under: uncultured bacterium
Lineage: Bacteria
Description: bacterial SSU rRNA
Rfam family: Bacterial small subunit ribosomal RNA
Source: RNAcentral